This 2077-nucleotide long non-coding RNA is filed under the name Mus musculus (house mouse). RNAcentral's name for it is "long non-coding RNA chr13:104228965-104231042". Lineage: Eukaryota; Metazoa; Chordata; Mammalia; Rodentia; Muridae. The record is from RNAcentral.
GUGUUGACGAGAGCGCUGAGGAGGCCGGAGGACUGAAGUGAGUUGAAACCGGCUCUGACUGGCAAAGGCCCCAGUUUUCUGUCAAGGAGGAUGGCAGCUCGCGGGUUUGGGGGACCCAGGUACCCCCUAGAUCGGACGCUUACGCCUUACGAACUGGAGGUCUCGCGCUUCUCGGCCUCUCGGGCCAAUGCUGUUCUAGAACCUACCUGUUUUUUCCCGAAAAAGCCGAGGGGCGGGGUUGGAAGGAACUUUUUGUUAAAAAGAAUGAAGUAGAUUUCUAUCAGCUAAACUAUAUAUUGAAAUUACUGUAAUUUAUAAGGUGGCCUCCCAUUUAGAAUAUUCUUUUUGACUUGGAAUGUGUAUGUAUGUGACGCGAGAAAUUCACGAAGGGCCUGCGUGUUACGUUCCCGCGUCUCCACCUGCCUGCUCUAUGUUUGACGAUUAGCAUAUAGUCUAUGAGCCUUUGCUAUUUCUGGAUCUUUAUAUUUCUGUAUAGGUCUAGAAUUUCCUCAUCAAGUGCGACAGAGUUUUUGUCGCCUUUAAGAUGUUAAUUAAGAUAAAAGAGGACAAUUUGGGGGGAGUUGACAUCUUCGCGUUAUUGACACCUUUAACCUAGGAGCAUGCUACCGUGUUCUGUCUAUUCCAACAACAAAGCUGCAUCCUGUACCACUUCUCCGUUGGUAAUUUACAGGUUAAGCAAUUUAAGACUUAAAAAUUCCUUAUGAGUAAAAAAAUACAUUGGGGCGGUGUUUAUUCUGAUUUACAUCUGAUGUUGUAAACUACAGGUCCUCUCUACAUCCUUAAAAUUACCUAACUGUACCUCAUGAUACACUAUCAUCUUUACAACAGCCAUCUAGUAACCUUGCCCUGGAUGACUAUAUUCAUUAAUAUGCUAUCUUUUGUUGUUUUAAUUGGGCCACUAGUUAGUAAUUUAAAGUGGGCUACUAUCCAAAGUUGCUUUAUAUUCUUUGAGUUUUCUUAAAGACAAAAACAAAAAACAAAAAAAACCAACAUUCUGUAACCUUUCCCCCUCUCCUCUUAAAAUUUUGUUUGUAAACCUUAUAGCCUUUAUGUGAUAAGCUAUUUCUCUGAACCCUGACCCCUUCUGAGAUAGGAUUUUUCUUUUAUGUCCUGACUGUCCUUGAAAGGACAGAGAUUCGAAUGCCUCUGCUUCUGCUUCCCAAGUGCUGGGAUUAAAGGCAGGGGUCACACCACCUGGCUGUAUCUGCUCUUAAAAUUCAAAUUCCUUGAUACUUCCUCACAGUGGAUCACCUUAGGUUCCAUUUCACUUAGUUGGAAGAAGUAAUUCAAACACACCUUCCACAAGCUCUUACCAAUACAUCUCCUCACCUACCUGAAUUUUGCACUCUUGUUUUUCUACUGACUCUCCUGUUACAAUGGAACUUUUUAAAAUUUAAAUCCAUUCUUCAUUAGGUGGACACUUAGUUGAUUACAUAUCUGGGCUAUUGUGAAUGGUGCUAUAGUAAACAAGAUUGUAAACAUCUUUUUAACAUGCUAGUUUCCUUUGGAUAUAUAUCUAAUAGUGGAAUUACUGGAUCCUGUGGUAGUUCUGUUUCUAAUUUUUGCUAACAUCCAUACUCUUUUUUUUUUUUUAAUAAUGGCUAUAUGAAAAUAUUCCCUCCAACAGGUGCGUGUUCAUGUUUCUCUUUUGAUAAAAAGGACUUUUUGUUUUUUUAGUCACUCCUACAUUCAGCAGAUAGUUGUUUAAUGCAUGUGUCUUUUUUUUUUUUUUUUAACGUUAGUAGUUGCAGUAAGGUGAAGAAAACUAUAAAGGAUAUGUCAGAGAAUAAACAAGAAGUACAUCCAGAUACUAUUACAGAUGUGGAAGCUGUUAUAGAUACAGAGGAAGAACUUAUUAAAGAAUGUGAAGAAAUGUGGAAAGACAUGGAAGAUGUAAGUUUCAACAGAUAAAAGUGAUAUAUUAAUAUAAUUUUACAUAAUUGACUUAGGAAAGAAACCGUGUUAGUUUCCGCAUAACUAUUUUUUUUAUAAAUUAUUUGUAUAGAUUUUAUACCUAAAAGCAUUCUUUUAAAAAUUUUUAUACUUGAUAAGCUAU